This 809-nucleotide ribosomal RNA is filed under the name Enterobacter sp. Its description in RNAcentral is "bacterial SSU rRNA". The record is from RNAcentral. Lineage: Bacteria; Pseudomonadati; Pseudomonadota; Gammaproteobacteria; Enterobacterales; Enterobacteriaceae.
UGCAGUCGNACGGUAGCACAGAGAGCUUGCUCUCGGGUGACGAGUGGCGGACGGGUGAGUAAUGUCUGGGAAACUGCCUGAUGGAGGGGGAUAACUACUGGAAACGGURGCUAAUACCGCAUAACGUCGCAAGACCAAAGAGGGGGACCUUCGGGCCUCUUGCCAUCAGAUGUGCCCAGAUGGGAUUAGCUAGUAGGUGGGGUAAYGGCUCACCUAGGCGACGAUCCCUAGCUGGUCUGAGAGGAUGACCAGCCACACUGGAACUGAGACACGGUCCAGACUCCUACGGGAGGCAGCAGUGGGGAAUAUUGCACAAUGGGCGCAAGCCUGAUGCAGCCAUGCCGCGUGUAUGAAGAAGGCCUUCGGGUUGUAAAGUACUUUCAGCGGGGAGGAAGGUGUUGUGGUUAAUAACCGCRKCAAUUGACGUUACCCGCAGAAGAARCACCGGCUAACUCCGUGCCAGCAGCCGCGGUAAUACGGAGGGUGCAAGCGUUAAUCGGAAUUACUGGGCGUAAAGCGCACGCAGGCGGUCUGUCAAGUCRGAUGUGAAAUCCCCGGGCUCAACCUGGGAACUGCAUUYGAAACUGGCAGGCUAGAGUCUUGUAGAGGGGGGUAGAAUUCCAGGUGUAGCGGUGAAAUGCGUAGAGAUCUGGAGGAAUACCGGUGGCGAAGGCGGCCCCCUGGACAAAGACUGACGCUCAGGUGCGAAAGCGUGGGGAGCAAACAGGAUUAUAUACUCUGGUAGUCCACGCCGUAUACGAUGUCGACUUGGAGGUUGUGCCCUUGAGGCGUGGCUUCUGGAGCUAACG